Molecule: ribosomal RNA, 252 nt
Filed under: uncultured bacterium
Lineage: Bacteria
Description: partial 16S ribosomal RNA
Rfam family: Bacterial small subunit ribosomal RNA
Source: RNAcentral
CGGAGGGGCUAGCGUUGUUCGGAAUUACUGGGCGUAAAGCGCACGUAGGCGGAUUGGAAAGUUGGGGUGAAAUCCCGGGGCUCAACCCCGGAACUGCCUUCAAAACUCCCAGUCUGGAGGUCGAGAGAGGUGAGUGGAAUUCCGAGUGUAGAGGUGAAAUUCGUAGAUAUUCGGAGGAACACCAGUGGCGAAGGCGGCUCACUGGCUCGAACCUGACGCUGAGGUGCGAAAGCGUGGGGAGCAAACAGGAUU